Molecule: RNA transcript, 2123 nt
Organism: Neodiprion virginianus
Lineage: Eukaryota; Metazoa; Arthropoda; Insecta; Hymenoptera; Diprionidae
Gene name: esterase E4-like
Exons: 5
Source: RefSeq, a predicted model, not a curated record
GUCGUUGGACAGUUUGAAUAUCAUGUUUGACGAUUGGCAUGUCAAACUCGUUCGCGAUAGACAAACGGUUCGAUGCCGUAAAAAAAUCCCACCAACAAGAUUCGCCAGAGUGGAGUUUGUUCUCAUCGGACAACAUCGUGUGACGACAAUGGCUUCAUAUUCAGGGGCGGAGUGUCUUUUUCUCCCACUACUGCUAAGCAUUUUUUUCUCGUCAAGUUUCGGUUACCUUGAUGGAACUACUGAACCGGAAGUGACUGUUUCCCAGGGGAAUCUGCGGGGAAACAUUAUGACCACCACCCAUGGCCGAAAGGUGUCGGCCUUUCUGGGAAUUCCUUAUGCUCAACCACCGGUAGGAAAUAAGAGAUUCGCCAAUCCCGUGCCGGCGGGUGGUUGGAAGGGAAUCCGAAACGCUACUGCCGACGGAAACAUGUGCCCCCAACUAAGUAACAUAGACUAUGUCACUUUUGUUGGGGACGAAGACUGUCUAAACCUGAACGUGUAUACGCCGCAGAUAAGCAACCGUAAGAACUCCUCGCUACUUCCGGUAAUGGCAUAUGUAUUCGGAGGGAGGUUCUUGACAGGGUCUACCAACUCAUCCGUCUACAGUCCGGCGUACCUUUUGAACCAAGAUGUAGUUCUCGUCACCUUCAACUAUCGUCUGGGUGUUCUGGGGUUCUUGAGCACUGGCGACGAAGUGGCUUCCGGAAACUGGGGCCUAAAAGACCAGGUCCUUGCGCUCGAAUGGGUGCAGCGUAACAUCAGACACUUUCACGGUGACCCUGAUCGAGUGACGUUAUUCGGCCACAGCUCAGGGAGCGCUUGCGUUCACCUUCUGACGCUUUCGAAAUUGACAAUUGGACUCUUCCAUAAGUUCAUUAUGCAAAGCGGAGCUGGCUUUCCGCAAUGGGUCUACAGACCCAGGGCUGCCUACGCAAAGCGCGCAUUCGAACUUGGCAAUUACAUUGGCUGUUCAAAUGAAACUUCGGAUUCCCUCGUCAGCUGUUUGCGGAAAAAGAACUUCUUGGAUGUUGUAGGCGUAUUCAAACAGUUUUACGUGUGGCAAUACGAACCAUUCAGCACAUGGGCUUGUACUGAUGAGCCAGAUAUCAAGGGGGCUUUUAUAACAACCAGCCCUACAAAUAUAGUGAGAGCUGGUCAGAUUCGUGAUGUACCUUGUAUCAUGGGUCUCGUUGAAGACGAAGGUUUAGGGACUACUAUAGGCAAGUGAAUGCAAAUUACUUGGAAUUGAUCAUUCGACUGUGAAUCAUGAGUAUAGCAAGGUGAAAAUGGUUGAUUUUGAUAGAAAUUCCAGAAAGUCAACAAAAUGGCAGAAAACAAGCCGUAAAAACAGUACAGUAAUUUCCCACACUAGUCGACCCAUCGGAGCCUUCAAGUCCCUUAAUAUUCCGCAUUCCCACCCCGAUAGACGGAUUUCACUCGUAUACACAUUCUCGUAGAACGUGUAUGCGGCACUACCGGCAAAACCCAAACAUCAAAUUAUGCUGAAUAUAUAAGUACAUUAUGCAACAAGGGAAAAAAGUCGAAGAUUAUUCCCGCAGUUUGAUUUACUACCUGAGCGAAGCGAGAUCUAGAUUUUUUUUUCGCAUUAUUGUGUGUAGAAUUCAGAACCGAGAGAAUGAAAAAAUAAAUGAUAAAAAAUGCAUACAAGUAGCGUAUGUAUGUAGGUUGGCGGGAGUGGGUCCAGAACCACAGGCUCUGGUGGGGGUGUAAGAGGCGAAGUACCCACUGGGUAUUACACAAGAAAAGUGUACAUUAUAGUCGAUUUGGGAACAAACAUAUUCACAUACUUACUGUAGACAGUGGUUGAAUGAAAAUAAAAAACGGACAAUCGUGGAAUAUGAAUGAUUGAAGAAUGAGCGAGGCAAGAUGAAAUAAUAGAAAAAGGCUGACCAUCGAUGAGAAAGUAACAAUUGUUAUCAAUUGGUUCGAAAACGGUGAGUCGGGCCUUAGGCUUACGCUUGAUUAUGGCAUCGACAGAUAAACUCUAACAAAAAUUAAUCAAAAUGAAGAAAACACAACUCAGUAUACUUAAAGACCAGCAUGGAAGUACGAAGAAGAAGAAAAUUACAAACGUCGAAGAAAGUGGUAUUGGAAAAGCAAUU